CGGAGGGUGCAAGCGUUGUCCGGAUUUAUUGGGUUUAAAGGGUGCGUAGGCGGCUUUAUAAGUCCGUGGUGAAAGCCAACAGCUCAACUGUUGAACUGCCAUGGAUACUGUAAGGCUUGAGUACAGACGAGGUAGGCGGAAUGGAUGGUGUAGCGGUGAAAUGCAUAGAUACCAUCCAGAACCCCGAUUGCGUAGGCAGCUUACUAGGCUGUAACUGACGCUGAGGCACGAAAGCGUGGGGAGCGAACAGGAUUAGAUACCCUGGUAGUCCACGCUGUAAACGAUGAUUACUCGAUGUUGGCGAUACACAGUCAGCGUCUUAGCGAAAGCGUUAAGUAAUCCACCUGGGGAUACGCCCGCAAGGGUG
Molecule: ribosomal RNA, 367 nt
Filed under: uncultured organism
Description: bacterial SSU rRNA
Rfam family: Bacterial small subunit ribosomal RNA
Source: RNAcentral